AGAGUUUGAUCAUGGCUCAGAUUGAACGCUGGCGGCAUGCUUAAUACAUGCAAGUCGAACGGUAACAGAUUCUUCGGAAUGCUGACGAGUGGCGGACGGGUGAGUAAUACAUAGGAAUCUGCCCAUGUAGUGGGGGACAACUUGGGGAAACUCAAGCUAAUACCGCAUAAUUCCUACGGGAUAAAGAGGGCCACUGCUUGCAAGCUCUUGCUACUGGAUGAGCCUAUGUCGGAUUAGUUAGUUGGUAAGGUAAUGGCUUACCAAGACAGCGAUCCGUAGCUGGUUUGAGAGGAUGAUCAGCCACACUGGGACUGAGACACGGCCCAGACUCCUACGGGAGGCAGCAGUAGGGAGUAUUGGACAAUGGGCGCAAGCCUGAUCCAGCAAUGCCGCGUGUGUGAAGAAGGCCUGCGGGUUGUAAAGCACUUUCAAUUGGGAAGAAAGAUUAUGAGUUAAUACCUUAUAAUAUUGACGUUACCAAUACAAGAAGCACCGGCUAACUCUGUGCCAGCAGCCGCGGUAAUACAGAGGGUGCGAGCGUUAAUCGGAAUUACUGGGCGUAAAGAGUACGUAGGUGGUUAAAUCAGUCGGAUGUGAAAGCCCCAGGCUUAACUUGGGAAUUGCAUUCGAUACUAUUUGACUAGAGUACGGUAGAGAGAAGUGGAAUUCCUAGUGUAGCGGUGAAAUGCGUAGAUAUUAUGAAGAACACC
RNAcentral lists this ribosomal RNA (710 nucleotides) under uncultured bacterium. RNAcentral describes it as "bacterial SSU rRNA". It matches the Rfam family "Bacterial small subunit ribosomal RNA", at positions 8 to 710 of the family's 1533-position model. The record is from RNAcentral.